GUGCGGUCAUACCAUGUUCUUUGGUGAAGCGCAUCACACAUUGUAUUAAAAUAAGUCAAACAAAUGAAAGGCCAAGAUUAUAACAUUUCCUCAAGAUCCAAUGGCCUGGAAGCUCCCACGUGGGGAUGGUGGUGGAAACCACCAUCUUCUCCGGCCAGACAACUGAUUCCAGCCACCACGCGCAGGGAUUUCAGCUUCAAUAAAAAUGAAAAAGCAAGGUAUCAAAAUGAAGCUGGGGUGAUGUACAUCACCCCUAUAACCAUGGAUUCUCC
Molecule: long non-coding RNA, 272 nt
Filed under: Lathyrus oleraceus (garden pea)
Lineage: Eukaryota; Viridiplantae; Streptophyta; Magnoliopsida; Fabales; Fabaceae
Description: Pisum sativum (pea) long non-coding RNA (PSAT_LNC029694)
Source: RNAcentral